AUCAGACUUAGCAGCAUCUUCCUGUCCCAAGAGAAGAGGGGAUGGGAGGAUGGCAUGGUUCAGGGCUUAGGGGAGGAUAGGGGAGAAAAAGUGGAAGCAAAGGGAGAGGCCCAGGAAGGAUUUUGUUGCGACAUGUUACCUGGGCUGCACCUGCUGUAUGCAAGAGAAGAGGCUGGGAGUCCCCUCUGCAGGGUGUUCAUGCCCCAUCUCUGUGCCACGAGGAGUUGGGCUGCUGAAGCUGCAGUUCCUGAUACUGGUUUUUCUACAUGCUUCAGCCAAAGACAUAUACUCUUUGAUCCCUGAGAACACUAUUUCCUCAGUGUCUUUGCACAUGGAGUUCACUUCUCUGCUUGUGAAGUCUAUGAAUAUUGCAUGGCUGAUUUGUCACAAUUUUAAGUCUUCAACAUCUGGAGUGUUCUGGCAAGAAUUUGUAGGAAAAAUUUUUGAAUCAUCAGAUUACCAUAGCACAACCUUGGAGAAUAAAACUCUUUUGCUCUGAAGCUCAUCUAAUAACCUGAUAUCUCUCAAAUGAAUCUAUCCAAUGACAGGGAAUACCCCAUGUUAAACAGCUGAUUCUUGUUCUGAAUACGUUUAUUAUCUUGUAGUUAGUAAAUAAAUCAAUUGGACCCUUAAGACUUUGCUUAGAGUGAAUCUGUCUCCCAGAGCUUGAUCACAUUUGAAUGUACAGACAAAAACUAACAAAAGUGAGAUCCAUCUGGGGAUGAGGUAUUGGGAUUCUGUAAGAUCCUGCCUGAAACAGCC
Molecule: long non-coding RNA, 762 nt
Filed under: Homo sapiens (human)
Lineage: Eukaryota; Metazoa; Chordata; Mammalia; Primates; Hominidae
Description: non-protein coding FLG-AS1:15
Source: RNAcentral